AUGUCAAAUUUGAGGGUAAUAGGUCUUAUUGUAACCCCAAAUUGCACAAAAUCCUAAGAAUAUGACCAUUUUCAAAUGCGAAACUGCGGGGUCAUGACCUCAUGUUGUUGUUGUGUUCUUUGUUACUCAGGAAGGACAAACACAGUAGGCAUAUUGUAUUUUGGGUUCUUUUUAAGCUGGAAUUGCUAGUAGGGUCACGCUGUGAAUUAUUGUGCAAAAACCACCUGGUAACAAGGUUCGUUGUUUUCUGAAUUGAGCGUGGUGGAGAUCAAGAAGGUGUCCGCGGCUCCGAGAGAGUGUGUGUCUACCGUUGUCUGCUACCUUAAGUGACCGACAACGGACGAUUCUGAUUGGUACAUCAACGCUGGUGGGUACUGAGCAGACGGGAUGCCUGCAACACGUUCUGUGAAGUGAACGUGGAACAAAAGGGAAAAAAUAAACUCAAAGCAACCAAAUAAGAACAACAAAAAUAAUAACUAUGGAAAAAAAAAUACAAACAAAAAAUAAGACAAGAUCACCAUACAUCCCAGCAUAAAACCCAUGACCAGAAUAAAGCCCCAAUUAAGAAUGUAAAAAGGGUCCAAUAGCCAGACCUGUACAAGUAGAAGAAAAAGGCCUGAAGAAGCUUGAAACACUAAAUGUAAUAGCAUCUACUUAGAUGCAUAACUUGCAAAGUCAUUAUAAAGUUUUUCUGCAUAUUCAUGUAAAAGACAAAAUAAUUAGCUGACUAAAAUAAAACACUCCCUUAGAAACUUUUUAGUACUUACAUGCAUUUUUUUUUUAAAACUGUUAAUCCAAAACACACCAUAAAAUCUGUAUGACUGAAGUGAUUCAAAAUAAGUAAAUAAAAUUAACAA
This is a long non-coding RNA of Dreissena polymorpha, 857 nucleotides long. RefSeq lists it as uncharacterized. NCBI's taxonomy places the organism in Eukaryota, Metazoa, Mollusca, Bivalvia, Myida, Dreissenidae. The record is from RefSeq and is a predicted model, not a curated record. The transcript is spliced from 3 exons.